This 490-nucleotide ribosomal RNA is filed under the name uncultured bacterium. RNAcentral describes it as "partial 16S ribosomal RNA". It matches the Rfam family "Bacterial small subunit ribosomal RNA", at positions 28 to 507 of the family's 1533-position model. The record is from RNAcentral.
GAUGAACGCUAGCUACAGGCUUAACACAUGCAAGUCGCGGGGCAGCAUGGGGGUUGCUUGCAAUCCCCGAUGGCGACCGGCGCACGGGUGAGUAACGCGUAUCCAACCUGCCCUUCACCACGGGAUAACCCGGCGAAAGUCGGACUAAUACCGUAUGUUGUCCAUUGACGGCAUCCGAUUUGGACGAAAGGCUUGGCGGUGAGGGAUGGGGAUGCGUCCGAUUAGCCAGACGGCGGGGUAACGGCCCACCGUGGCUACGAUCGGUAGGGGUUCUGAGAGGAAGGUCCCCCACACUGGAACUGAGACACGGUCCAGACUCCUACGGGAGGCAGCAGUGAGGAAUAUUGGUCAAUGGGCGUAAGCCUGAACCAGCCAAGUAGCGUGCAGGAUGACGGCCCUAUGGGUUGUAAACUGCUUUUAUGCGGGGAUAAAGUGGCCCACGUGUGGGCUUUUGCAGGUACCGCAUGAAUAAGGACCGGCUAAUUCCGAG